AGAUGUUAGGGCACUCUGUCACAUCUGUUACCCUGUUAAUCAACUGGGUUGAUUUGACUGGUCUAGCUACCUAGACUACCUAGAUGUCACUCCUGAACCUGUGGGCUUGGUUGAAGAGGACAAACUUCCCCAAUAGAGGCAUACUAUUCCUCAGUCAAGGGUAUGUGAAUAGCUUGCUAGCACAAGCUCCCAAGAAAAAUAAUCUAGCACUAUUUAAAACUAUAUUACAGGUUUGUAACUCUAU
This 244-nucleotide small nuclear RNA is filed under the name Sarcophilus harrisii (Tasmanian devil). RNAcentral describes it as "7SK RNA". It matches the Rfam family "7SK RNA". Rfam says of the family: 7SK was discovered as an abundant small nuclear RNA in the mid-70s but a possible function has only recently been suggested. Two independent studies have found that 7SK RNA binds the CDK9/cyclin T complex (known as elongation factor P-TEFb). Lineage: Eukaryota; Metazoa; Chordata; Mammalia; Dasyuromorphia; Dasyuridae. The record is from Rfam by way of RNAcentral.